This is a transfer RNA of Loxodonta africana (African savanna elephant), 71 nucleotides long. It matches the Rfam family "tRNA". Rfam says of the family: Transfer RNA (tRNA) molecules are approximately 80 nucleotides in length. Their secondary structure includes four short double-helical elements and three loops (D, anti-codon, and T loops). NCBI's taxonomy places the organism in Eukaryota, Metazoa, Chordata, Mammalia, Proboscidea, Elephantidae. The record is from Rfam.
GCAUUGGUGGUUCAGUGAUAGAAUUCUCACCUUCCAUGUGGGAGAACCGGGUUCAAUUCCCAGUCAAUGAA